GAUGAACGCUAGCGGCAGGCCUAAUACAUGCAAGUCGAGGGAGAAUGUUGGAUUCGUCUGACAUGAAACCGGCGCACGGGUGCGUAACACGUAUGCAACCUACCUUUAACUGGGGUAUAGCUCAGAGAAAUCUGAAUUAAUCCCCCAUAAGACUACGACAUGGCAUCAUGAUGUAGUUAAAGCUCCGGCGGUUAAGGAUGGGCAUGCGGUACAUUAGCUAGUUGGUGAGUUAAGGGCUCACCAAGGCUACGAUGUAUAGGGGGUCUGAGAGGAUGAUCCCCCACACUGGUACUGGGACACGGACCAGACUCCUACGGGAGGCAGCAGUAGGGAAUAUUGGUCAAUGGACGCAAGUCUGAACCAGCCAUGCCGCGUGAAGGAUGAAGGCCCUAUGGGUCGUAAACUUCUUUUAUUAGGGAAGAAAAAACGGGAUGCGUCCUGUACUGACGGUACUUAAUGAAUAAGGAUCGGCUAACUUCGUGCCAGCCGCCGCCGUAA
Molecule: ribosomal RNA, 498 nt
Filed under: uncultured bacterium
Lineage: Bacteria
Description: partial 16S ribosomal RNA
Rfam family: Bacterial small subunit ribosomal RNA
Source: RNAcentral